RNAcentral lists this unclassified non-coding RNA (329 nucleotides) under soil metagenome. RNAcentral describes it as "partial contains 5.8S ribosomal RNA, internal transcribed spacer 2, and large subunit ribosomal RNA". The stretch from base 1 to 120 matches the Rfam family "5.8S ribosomal RNA", at positions 35 to 154 of the family's 154-position model. The record is from RNAcentral.
GAUGAAGAACGUAGCGAAAUGCGAUAAGUAAUGUGAAUUGCAGAAUUCAGUGAAUCAUCGAAUCUUUGAACGCACAUUGCGCGCCUUGGUAUUCCGAGGGGCAUGCCUGUUCGAGCGUCAUUAUAACCCCUCAAGCUCAGCUUGGUGUUGGGGCCUGCUGCACUGGCAGCCCUUAAAAUCAGUGGCGGCGCCAUCUGGCUCUAAGCGUAGUAAUUCUUCUCGCUAUGGAGUCCUGGUGGAUGCUUGCCAUCAACCCCCAAUUUUUCUAUGGUUGACCUCGGAUCAGGUAGGGAUACCCGCUGAACUUAAGCAUAUCAAUAAGCGGAGGA